AGUGAACGCUGGCGGCAGGCCUAACACAUGCAAGUCGAACGGCAGCACAGUAAGAGCUUGCUCUUACGGGAGGCGAGUGGCGGACGGGUGAGGAAUACAUCGGAAUCUACUUUUUCGUGGGGGAUAACGUAGGGAAACUUACGCUAAUACCGCAUACGACCUACGGGUGAAAGCAGGGGAUCUUCGGACCUUGCGCGAGUGAAUGAGCCGAUGUCGGAUUAGCUAGUUUGCGGGGUAAAGGCCCACCAAGGCGACGAUCCGUAGCUGGUCUGAGAGGAUGAUCAGCCACACUGGCACUGAGACACGGUCCAGACUCCUACGGGAGGCAGCAGUCGGGAAUAUUGGCCAAUGGGCGCAAGCCUGAUCCAGCCAUACCGAGUGGGUGAGGAAGGCCUUCGGGUUGUAAAGCCCUUUUGUUCGGCAAGAAAAGCAGCAGGUUAAUACCCCGCUGUUCUGACGGUACCCAAAGAAUAAGCACGGGCUAACUUCGUG
Molecule: ribosomal RNA, 492 nt
Filed under: uncultured bacterium
Lineage: Bacteria
Description: partial 16S ribosomal RNA
Rfam family: Bacterial small subunit ribosomal RNA
Source: RNAcentral